Mycena galericulata is the source of this 84-nucleotide non-coding RNA. The record is from the annotation of a GenBank genome assembly. NCBI's taxonomy places the organism in Eukaryota, Fungi, Basidiomycota, Agaricomycetes, Agaricales, Mycenaceae.
CCCACUUGGUUCAGUGGUUAAUCUGCCUGAUCGUGUUGCAUUGCUGACAACGGGCGGUCGGAGGUUCGAUUCCUUCGAGUGGCA